RNAcentral lists this transfer RNA (73 nucleotides) under Paramuricea clavata. It matches the Rfam family "tRNA". From Rfam's summary of the family: Transfer RNA (tRNA) molecules are approximately 80 nucleotides in length. The record is from Rfam by way of RNAcentral. Lineage: Eukaryota; Metazoa; Cnidaria; Anthozoa; Malacalcyonacea; Plexauridae.
GGCCGCGUAGCUUAGUCGGAAGAGCAUUGGGCUAGUAUUUCAAAGGUCGUAGGUUCGAAACCCACCGUGGCCG